UACGGGGGGGCAAGCGUUGUUCGGAAUUACUGGGCGUAAAGGGCUCGUAGGUGGCCAACUAAGUCAGACGUGAAAUCCCUCGGCUUAACCGGGGAACUGCGUCUGAUACUGGAUGGCUAGAGUUUGGGAGAGGGAUGCGGAAUUCCAGGUGUAGCGGUGAAAUGCGUAGAUAUCUGGAGGAACACCGGUGGCGAAGGCGGCAUCCUGGACCAACACUGACGCUGAGGAGCGAAAGCCAGGGGAGCAAACGGG
This 252-nucleotide ribosomal RNA is filed under the name uncultured bacterium. RNAcentral's name for it is "partial 16S ribosomal RNA". It matches the Rfam family "Bacterial small subunit ribosomal RNA", at positions 524 to 776 of the family's 1533-position model. The record is from RNAcentral.